CGCGGCCUAUCAGCUUGUUGGUGAGGUAACGGCCCACCAAGGCGACGACGGGUAGCCGGCCUGAGAGGGUGACCGGCCACACUGGGACUGAGACACGGCCCAGACUCCUACGGGAGGCAGCAGUGGGGAAUAUUGCACAAUGGGCGCAAGCCUGAUGCAACAACGCCGCGUGAGGGACGACGGCCUUCGGGUUGUAAACCUCUUUUAGCAGGGAGGAAGCGAAAGUGACGGUACCUGCAGAAAAAGCACCGGCUAACUACGUGCCAGCAGCCGCGGUAAUACGUAGGGUGCAAGCGUUGUCCGGAAUUAUUGGGCGUAAAGAGCUCGUAGGCGGUUUGUCGCGUCUGCUGUGAAAAUCCGAGGCUCAACCUCGGACCUGCAGUGGGUACGGGCAAACUAGAGUGCGGUAGGGGAGAUUGGAAUUCCUGGUGUAGCGGUGGAAUGCGCAGAUAUCAGGAGGAACACCAAUGGCGAAGGCAGAUCUCUGGGCCGUAGCUGACGCUGAGGAGCGAAAGCGUGGGGAGCGAACAGGAUUAGAUACCCUGGUAGUCCACGCCGUAAACGUUGGGAACUAGAUGUGGGGUCCAUUCCACGGAUUCCGUGUCGCAGCUAACGCAUUAAGUUCCCCGCCUGGGGAGUACGG
RNAcentral lists this ribosomal RNA (643 nucleotides) under uncultured Actinomycetes bacterium. Its description in RNAcentral is "bacterial SSU rRNA". It matches the Rfam family "Bacterial small subunit ribosomal RNA", at positions 232 to 885 of the family's 1533-position model. Lineage: Bacteria; Bacillati; Actinomycetota; Actinomycetes. The record is from RNAcentral.